Molecule: ribosomal RNA, 720 nt
Filed under: Triticum aestivum (bread wheat)
Lineage: Eukaryota; Viridiplantae; Streptophyta; Magnoliopsida; Poales; Poaceae
Description: partial small subunit ribosomal RNA
Source: RNAcentral
AUGUCGCCGCGGUCGUCGCCAGGGACCCGCAGCUCCUCCGCGCCAGCGUGGGACAGAACCCUGGCGCCCAUCGUCGCCGGGCUCUCUGGCCUCGGCCUAUCGCGUUCCGAAAUCGCACGCCUCGCCUCGCUCGCCGCCCACAGAUUCCGCAGAAAAGACACCGUCUCCAAGCUCGAGUACCACCUGCGCCUCUUCCGCUCCUUCGAGAACCUCCUCCGGGCCAUCAAGUUCUGCGAUCUCAUCUCGCACAGCCUCGAGAGGGUGGUCAAGCCCAAUGUCGCGUUGCUGCGCGAGUGCGGGUUAGGUGAUUGCGACAUUGCCAAGCUGUGCAUCUCAAGGCCCAGGAUGAUCACCACCAACCCGGAGCUUGUCCAGGCGAUGGUGACAUGCGCUCAAGACAUAGGUGUGCCCCGUGGCUCUGUGAUGUUCAGGCACGCGCUGCUUGCUGUUUCAUCUGUCGGCAAGGAGGAGAUCUUGCUGGGAUGUCCAGCCAGAGUGGAGUACUUGAGGAACACGUUCAGGUGGACGGAUGCUGAGGUGGCCAUUGCUGUUUCUAAGGCUCCAGCGGUGCUGACGAGGGCUAAGGAAUCUCUGCAGCGCAGAUCCGAGUUCCUCAUCUCCGAGCUGGGGUUGGAACCGGCAUACAUUGCUUAUCGUCCGGCAAUGCUCAUGUACAGCUUGGAGGGCCGGAUCAGACCCCGACACUACACUACGUUGUAA